AAAUUGAAGAGUUUGAUCAUGGCUCAGAUUGAACGCUGGCGGCAGGCCUAACACAUGCAAGUCGAACGGUAACAGGAAUCAGCUUGCUGAUUCGCUGACGAGUGGCGGACGGGUGAGUAAUGUCUGGGAAACUGCCUGAUGGAGGGGGAUAACUACUGGAAACGGUAGCUAAUACCGCA
This 179-nucleotide ribosomal RNA is filed under the name Escherichia coli. RNAcentral describes it as "partial 16S ribosomal RNA". It matches the Rfam family "Bacterial small subunit ribosomal RNA", at positions 1 to 173 of the family's 1533-position model. The record is from RNAcentral. Lineage: Bacteria; Pseudomonadati; Pseudomonadota; Gammaproteobacteria; Enterobacterales; Enterobacteriaceae.